Molecule: ribosomal RNA, 460 nt
Filed under: uncultured bacterium
Lineage: Bacteria
Description: partial 16S ribosomal RNA
Rfam family: Bacterial small subunit ribosomal RNA
Source: RNAcentral
CCUACGGGUGGCAGCAGUGAGGAAUAUUGGUCAAUGGACGAGAGUCUGAACCAGCCAAGUAGCGUGAAGGAUGACUGCCCUAUGGGUUGUAAACUUCUUUUAUAUGGGAAUAAAACGUUCCACGUGUGGGAUUUUGUAUGUACCAUAUGAAUAAGGAUCGGCUAACUCCGUGCCAGCAGCCGCGGUAAUACGGAGGAUCCGAGCGUUAUCCGGAUUUAUUGGGUUUAAAGGGAGCGUAGGUGGAUUGUUAAGUCAGUUGUGAAAGUUUGCGGCUCAACCGGAAAAUUGCAAGUGAAACUGGCAGUCUUGAGUACAGUAGAGGUGGGCGGAAUUCGUGGUGUAGCGGUGAAAUGCUUAGAUAUCACGAAGAACUCCGAUUGCGAAGGCAGUUCACUGGACUGCAACUGACACUGAGGCUCGAAAGUGUGGGUAUCAAACAGGAUUAGAUACCCGAGUAGUC